RNAcentral lists this ribosomal RNA (494 nucleotides) under uncultured bacterium. Its description in RNAcentral is "partial 16S ribosomal RNA". It matches the Rfam family "Bacterial small subunit ribosomal RNA", at positions 28 to 507 of the family's 1533-position model. The record is from RNAcentral.
GACGAACGCUGGCGGCGCGCUUAACACAUGCAAGUCGAACGGAAAGGCCUGCUUUCCCUUGUGGAUUGCGGGUACUCGAGUGGCGAACGGGUGAGUAACACGUGAGUGAUCUGCCCCCAACUUGGGUAUAAGCCUGGGAAACUGGGUCUAAUUCCCGAUAGGACUGCAGGGUGGUGCCUGUGGUGGAAAACGAUUUUCUAGUGUUUGGGGAUGAGCUCGCGGCCUAUCAGCUUGUUGGUGGGGUAAUGGCCUACCAAGGCGGCGACGGGUAGCCGGCCUGAGAGGGUGGACGGCCACAUUGGGACUGAGAUACGGCCCAGACUCCUACGGGAGGCAGCAGUGGGGAAUAUUGCACAAUGGGCGGAAGCCUGAUGCAGCGACGCCGCGUGGGGGAUGACGGCCUUCGGGUUGUAAACUCCUUUCGACCGCGAGGAAGCCACCUGGUUGGAAGGGUGGUGACGGUAGUGGUAGAAGAAGCACCGGCUAACUACGUG